Molecule: long non-coding RNA, 431 nt
Organism: Meriones unguiculatus (Mongolian gerbil)
Lineage: Eukaryota; Metazoa; Chordata; Mammalia; Rodentia; Muridae
Exons: 3
Source: RefSeq, a predicted model, not a curated record
ACUGUGAACAUCAGGAAGCAGACCUACCAAGAACACCUCACCCGGGGGAGCAGAGAUAAAGAUAACCAAGAAGCUAUUCCUGCCCUUGAGGAACCCACACUCCACUCAGCCUUGAACUCGAGGUACAGAACAGACUGGCUUCACACUCUCCAUCUACAGCCUUUACCUCCCUAGUGCUGGGAUCACAGAGGCUGGAGAUGUCUACAGAGUGCUUGCCACCUAGCAUUUACGAAGCCCUGGGUUUGAUCCCCAGCAGCACACGAAAACAGGUAUGGUGGCACACACCUGUAUUCCAAGCACUCCGGAGGCAGAAAGUUCAGUGUCUUCCUUGGCUGCAUAGUAAGCUCAAGAUCAGUCUCAAAUAGAUCAGGCCAUAUCUUAAGAAUAAAUAUUAAGAAAAUUAGCCAUAUGAUAUGUAGGUAUUCAAGAGA